This 256-nucleotide ribosomal RNA is filed under the name uncultured bacterium. Its description in RNAcentral is "partial 16S ribosomal RNA". It matches the Rfam family "Bacterial small subunit ribosomal RNA", at positions 521 to 776 of the family's 1533-position model. The record is from RNAcentral.
UAAUACGUAGGUGGCAAGCGUUGUCCGGAUUUAUUGGGUUUAAAGGGUGCGUAGGCGGCCUUUUAAGUCAGUGCUGAAAUACUCUAGCUUAACUAGAGGGGUGGCAUUGAUACUGAAAGGCUUGAGUGAAGUCGAGGUAGGCGGAAUUGACGGUGUAGCGGUGAAAUGCUUAGAUAUCGUCAAGAACACCGAUAGUGAAGACAGCUUACUAGACUUCAACUGACGCUGAGGCACGAAAGUGUGGGGAUCAAACAGG